This 495-nucleotide ribosomal RNA is filed under the name uncultured bacterium. RNAcentral describes it as "partial 16S ribosomal RNA". It matches the Rfam family "Bacterial small subunit ribosomal RNA", at positions 28 to 507 of the family's 1533-position model. The record is from RNAcentral.
GACGAACGCUGGCGGCGUGCCUAAUACAUGCAAGUAGAACGCUGAAGGAGGAGCUUGCUCUUCUGGAUGAGUUGCGAACGGGUGAGUAACGCGUAGGUAACCUGCCUGGUAGCGGGGGAUAACUAUUGGAAACGAUAGCUAAUACCGCAUAACAGUAGAUGUUGCAUGACAUUUACUUAAAAGGUGCAAUUGCAUCACUACCAGAUGGACCUGCGUUGUAUUAGCUAGUUGGUGGGGUAACGGCUCACCAAGGCGACGAUACAUAGCCGACCUGCGAGGGUGGUCGGCCACACUGGGACUGAGACACGGCCCAGUCUCCUACGGGAGGCGGCAGUAGGGAAACGUCGGCAAUGGGCGGAAGUCUGACCGAGCAACGCCGCGUGAGUGAGGAAGGUUUUCGGAUCGUAAAGCUCUGUUGUAAGAGAGGAACGAGUGUGAGAGUGGAAAGUUCACACUGUGACGGUAGCUGACCAGAAAGGGACGGCUAACUACGUG